AGAGUUUGAUCAUGGCUCAGGAUGAACGCUGGCGGCGUGCUUAACACAUGCAAGUCGAACGGAGCUAUGACACGGAGUUUUCGGACGAAGUGCUGCAGCUUAGUGGCGGACGGGUGAGUAACACGUGAGCAACCUACCCCAAAGUCCGGGAUAACAGCGGGAAACCGCUGCUAAUACCGGAUGUCUUUACCUUGGGGCAUCUUGAGGUAAAGAAAGGCAACGCUUUGGGAUGGGCCCGCGUCCCAUUAGCUAGUUGGUGAGGUAAUGGCUCACCAAGGCGACGAUGGGUAGCCGGCCUGAGAGGGUGGACGGCCACACUGGGACUGAGACACGGCCCAGACUCCUACGGGAGGCAGCAGUAGGGAAUAUUGCGCAUGGACGGAAGUCUGACGCAGCGACGCCGCGUGAGCGAUGAAGGUCUUCGGAUCGUAAAGCUCUGUCCUUGGGGAAGAAGGCGAAAGCUUGACGGUACCCAAGAAGAAAGCCCCGGCUAACUACGUGCCAGCAGCCGCGGUAAUACGUAGGGGGCGAGCGUUGUCCGGAAUUACUGGGCGUAAAGGGUGCGUAGGCGGCCCUUUAAGUCGGAUGUGAAAGCCCGCGGCUUAACCGCGGAAUGGCAUUCGAAACUGGAGGGCUUGAGUGUCGGAGAGGGUAGUGGAAUUCCCAGUGUAGCGGUGAAAUGCGUAGAUAUUGGGAGGAACACCAGUGGCGAAGGCGACUACCUGGACGAUAACUGACGCUGAGGCACGAAAGCUAGGGGAGCAAACAGGAUUAGAUACCCUGGUAGUCCUAGCCGUAAACGAUGGGUACUAAGUGUGGGUGGUUUCGAUACCAUCCGUGCCGUAGUUAACGCAUUAAGUACCCCGCCUGGGGAGUAAUCCCGCGGCCAUGGCGGCCGGAGCA
Molecule: ribosomal RNA, 903 nt
Filed under: uncultured bacterium
Lineage: Bacteria
Description: bacterial SSU rRNA
Rfam family: Bacterial small subunit ribosomal RNA
Source: RNAcentral